Molecule: ribosomal RNA, 497 nt
Filed under: uncultured bacterium
Lineage: Bacteria
Description: partial 16S ribosomal RNA
Rfam family: Bacterial small subunit ribosomal RNA
Source: RNAcentral
GACGAACGCUGGCGGCGUGCCUAAUACAUGCAAGUAGAACGCUGAAGAGAGGAGCUUGCUCUUCUUGGAUGAGUUGCGAACGGGUGAGUAACGCGUAGGUAACCUGCCUUGUAGCGGGGGAUAACUAUUGGAAACGAUAGCUAAUACCGCAUAACAAUGGAUGACACAUGUCAUUUAUUUGAAAGGGGCAAUUGCUCCACUACAAGAUGGACCUGCGUUGUAUUAGCUAGUAGGUGAGGUAACGGCUCACCUAGGCGACGAUACAUAGCCGACCUGAGAGGGUGGUCGGCCACACUGGGACUGGGACACGGCCCAGACUCCUACGGGAGGCAGCAGUAGGGAAUCUUCGGCAAUGGGGGCAAACCUGACCGAGCAACGCCGCGUGAGUGAAGAAGGUUUUCGGAUCGUAAAGAUCUGUUGUAAGUCAAGAACGAGUGUGAGAGUGGAAAGUUCACACUGUGACGGUAGCUUACCAGAAAGGGACGGCUAACUACGUG